CCUACGGGGGGCUGCAGUGGGGAAUAUUGGACAAUGGGCGAAAGCCUGAUCCAGCCAUGCCGCGUGUGUGAAGAAGGCCUUCGGGUUGUAAAGCACUUUCAGUGGGGAAGAAAGCCUUGGGGCUAAUACCCUCGAGGAAGGACAUCACCCACAGAAGAAGCACCGGCUAACUCCGUGCCAGCAGCCGCGGUAAUACGGAGGGUGCGAGCGUUAAUCGGAAUUACUGGGCGUAAAGCGCGCGUAGGCGGUCUGAUAAGUCGGUUGUGAAAGCCCCGGGCUCAACCUGGGAACGGCAUCCGGAACUGUCAGGCUAGAGUGCAGGAGAGGAAGGUAGAAUUCCCGGUGUAGCGGUGAAAUGCGUAGAGAUCGGGAGGAAUACCAGUGGCGAAGGCGGCCUUCUGGACUGACACUGACGCUGAGGUGCGAAAGCGUGGGUAGCAAACAGGAUUAGAUACCCUAGUAGUC
Molecule: ribosomal RNA, 465 nt
Filed under: Vreelandella stevensii
Lineage: Bacteria; Pseudomonadati; Pseudomonadota; Gammaproteobacteria; Oceanospirillales; Halomonadaceae
Description: partial 16S ribosomal RNA
Rfam family: Bacterial small subunit ribosomal RNA
Source: RNAcentral